AAGAAUUACAAGUUUUGGGCCAAAUUUUGCACAAAAAAGGGGCCCAAGUCGGCAUCCCAUCUCAUUAACCGAACCAUUUGACCCAUGACCCAUCCAACCCGCUCCAUAUCCCCACUCAAAACUCAUCCAUCAAACUAAUUCUAAUUUAACAUCCCAUAUUACUCCCUAUCAUAACAUAAAAUACAAUUUUAUCAACCCUAAACCUAAGACCAACCGCAACCCCCAUUUCUGCCGCCUCAAAACUUACUGCCCAUUGGUCCCCCCUCCUCUCUUCCCCAUCUUCCACGUAGCAAAAUACCAACGAUUUUCAUCAUUUCAAUCCGAUUCCUGCGGAUUUCUUCUUUUAAUUCUUUUGUUUAAACACAAAUCCGAGGCCCUUGGGUAAAUUUGGGAGAAAUGGGGACCGUUGGAUGAAGAUUUUAUCCAAAGUCUCCAUUUUUUUCGAUUUUUAUUGGUAAAAAGAGGAAUUUUCGGAUUUGAUCUGAAGGUCCACACGAUUUCGGAGGUUUUCUUGGAGAAAAAGCAUGAAGAAGCUUCUAGGAGCCCUAAAUAUAUAGGGGAUUUUUCGGACAAAAAGUUUUUUUUUCAAUUUUGGAGAGAUUUUGAUUCGUCCUUUUAUGGUUUUGCUUGUGUUCUUUCAUUUUAAAAAAAAAGUAAAAAAAAAAUCAGAAAAAAGGGUGGUUCAUAGAGACAGAGGUUUGGGAUUGAAAAUUGGAUUUCAAAAAUAAUUUUUAGUUCUUAAAAAAAAAAAAUAUAUAUAUAUAUAUAUACCUCUUUGCUUGUUCCAUUUCUUCAUUUAGAACUUGACUGACUGAAAACGUUGAGGCUGUUCGAGGUUUACGAGUUUGAGUUUUCCGCUGGCGAAUCUUGGUCGCCGUCCCGGUCAGCGUCCGCCAUUAUCGUGCGAUUUUGGUCGUUAUUUUCUCUUUCGGAUUUUUGAUCCAGUCUUGUAAUUGUUGGUUUGUUUCCAACCGUUAUUAAAAGAAGUUCUUGUUCGACCAAGUAUUUUUCUUAACUUUAGUAAUUGCCUUAGCUCCUACUUUUGUGAAUUGAACUUUAUUAGAGCCGUUUGAGGAUGGAUAAGAUAUGGGAGUAUAAGUUGUUUGGGUGAAUGAACGAUUCUAUUAGAAAUUUGUCUGAAACUAAGAAAGAUUAAGUGAAGCUCUUUGUCCUAUUUUCUUAAUCUCAAUUUGCGAUUUGUUUUGAAGAUCCUUCUGUCUUUGGUUGAUUUUUGAGCUUAGAAGACGUUUUCUUGGAUGAAAGGCAUAGUCAAUUGACAUUUUGAUUAGGAUAAGGGGUUUACGUCCAUGUCUCCUGAC
Molecule: long non-coding RNA, 1319 nt
Filed under: Nicotiana benthamiana
Lineage: Eukaryota; Viridiplantae; Streptophyta; Magnoliopsida; Solanales; Solanaceae
Description: long non-coding RNA (NBEN_LNC016501)
Source: RNAcentral